UGUGUUUUAUUCUUUUUUUUAUUAUUUUUUUUACAGAGUGAAGAUCUUUCUGUUACUGGAUCUCAGCACCAUCAGCUGGGAUUGCUUAAAGAGAUGCCAUGGCUCUGGGAACGGGGUGUGUGCGCCAAAAAAGCACCAAGGAGGAACUGGAGCCUUGGCAGGACCGGGAGGGUGCCCAGAGAAGCUCUGCAAGCAGAAUGAGUGCCUUCACCCCUCUGUCAUCACCAGCCCCUGAGAGCAAUCACCACCCACCAACAGUUCCUGGAGAUAAGGCCGAGCCAGCUGGGAGAAGAAAGCCUUUGAUAUUCCCUGCCUUGCUGACUGCGUUUCUCACAGCUCACGUCUGGAGUGGGCCAGGGGAGGUGGCUGGACACGAAAGAAUAACACUGAUGGGGGAUGCAGGGAAGGUGUUAAUCUUCUGCCAUGUGUGUAGGGCCUGGGCAGAGGAGGUGGAACUCAGCUGUGGAGUCCCCCUGAUCCUUCCACAGGUAUCAGCACAGGAUAAUCACAUUUCCAAGGCAAUAACAAGCACUCCCCAAGAGCAUCUGGCUAAGAAGGCUCAGAAGCAAUGA
Molecule: long non-coding RNA, 572 nt
Filed under: Parus major (Great Tit)
Lineage: Eukaryota; Metazoa; Chordata; Aves; Passeriformes; Paridae
Description: lncRNA (ENSPMJG00000000859.1)
Source: RNAcentral